Molecule: unclassified non-coding RNA, 337 nt
Filed under: soil metagenome
Description: partial contains 5.8S ribosomal RNA, internal transcribed spacer 2, and large subunit ribosomal RNA
Rfam family: 5.8S ribosomal RNA (bases 1-120)
Source: RNAcentral
GAUGAAGAACGUAGCGAAACGCGAUAGGUAAUGUGAAUUGCAGAAUUCCGUGAAUCAUCGAAUCUUUGAACGCACAUUGCGCCCCUUGGUAUUCCAUGGGGCAUGCCUGUUCGAGCGUCAUUUGUACCUUCAAGCCUUGCUUGGUGUUGGGUGUUUGUCUCGCCUCUGCGCGCAGACUCGCCUCAAAACAAUUGGCAGCCGGCGUAUUGAUUUCGGAGCGCAGUACAUCUCGCGCUUUGCACUCAGAACGACGACGUCCAAAAGUACAUUUUUACACUCUUGACCUCGGAUCAGGUAGGGAUACCCGCUGAACUUAAGCAUAUCAAUAAGCGGAGGA